GGGUGCACGCCAGAGUUGGAGAGCUGGACCUGACUGUAAAUCAGGUGCUUUUGAGCUGAAUAGGUUCGAAUCCUAUUGCCCCCA
This 84-nucleotide transfer RNA is filed under the name Bacteroidota bacterium. Its description in RNAcentral is "tRNA-Tyr". It matches the Rfam family "tRNA". From Rfam's summary of the family: Transfer RNA (tRNA) molecules are approximately 80 nucleotides in length. Their secondary structure includes four short double-helical elements and three loops (D, anti-codon, and T loops). Further hydrogen bonds mediate the characteristic L-shaped molecular structure. tRNAs have two regions of fundamental functional importance: the anti-codon, which is responsible for specific mRNA codon recognition, and the 3' end, to which the tRNAs corresponding amino acid is attached (by aminoacyl-tRNA synthetases). tRNAs cope with the degeneracy of the genetic code in two manners: having more than one tRNA (with a specific anti-codon) for a particular amino acid; and 'wobble' base-pairing, i.e. permitting non-standard base-pairing at the 3rd anti-codon position. RNAcentral also lists the same sequence under 2 other names. The record is from RNAcentral. Lineage: Bacteria; Pseudomonadati; Bacteroidota.